GUCGCGUGAUGCAGUGGUGCUUUGCAAGCACGCGGAAGAAGCCGAUGCCGGAGUUGGUCCGUCUUACUCCAGGGGUGCCAAUGAAGAAAUAACGUCAAUAUGGCGGUUUUAAGUCUUAGGAAGGAACGUGAAGUCUCCGACGAUGUUGGAUGAAACCGAGGAGACAAGCCAACAAUGCGCCUGCGCCGUCUGCAACAAAGUUUUCGUCUGCGAGUACACCUACCUCUUUCGGCUCCCCCCUGGCAGGAGAGACGGCUCCCACGUUUGUCCCGAAUGCCGCCACGUAUUCGAUCAAUUGGGCCGUUUAAACUUGCACCGAGGCGAGUACACCGGAUAGAAAGGCCGCAUAUAUCACGAAUGUCAUAGUUCCUCUCACAAAAAAGAA
This is a non-coding RNA of Dermacentor andersoni, 385 nucleotides long. The record is from RefSeq and is a predicted model, not a curated record. Lineage: Eukaryota; Metazoa; Arthropoda; Arachnida; Ixodida; Ixodidae.